This 254-nucleotide ribosomal RNA is filed under the name uncultured bacterium. RNAcentral's name for it is "partial 16S ribosomal RNA". It matches the Rfam family "Bacterial small subunit ribosomal RNA", at positions 524 to 776 of the family's 1533-position model. The record is from RNAcentral.
UACGUAGGAGACGAGCGUUGUCCGGAGUUACUGGGCGUAAAGGGUGCGCAGGUGGCGGCGCGCGUGGGGGGUGAAAUCGCCCGGCUUAACUGGGCGGGGGCCUUCCAGACGGCGUGGCUUGAGCAGCGGAGGGGGACGUGGAAUUCCUGGUGUAGCGGUGAAAUGCGCAGAUAUCAGGAGGAACACCGGUGGCGAAGGCGGUUCUCUGGGAAUGUCCUGACGGCUGAGGAGCGAAAGUGUGGGGAGCGAACAGG